Molecule: long non-coding RNA, 2234 nt
Organism: Hipposideros armiger (great roundleaf bat)
Lineage: Eukaryota; Metazoa; Chordata; Mammalia; Chiroptera; Hipposideridae
Exons: 4
Source: RefSeq, a predicted model, not a curated record
UUGUCAUAUAUGGCCUUUAUUAUGUGGAGGUAAUUUUCUUCUGUACCCAUUUGAUUAAGUGUUUUAAUCAUCUAUUUUUAAAAGAGAAAUGAAGAAAAGAAAUUUGGAAUUUUGGGAAGUCAUGAAGACCUUUCAAAAUUAUCAUCACUUGAUAAAAAACAGCUUGGGCAUAGUAAACAAUCAAGUUUAAGGAGCUCAGAAGAUUUUCAAUUAAAUAAUUUCACUAAUCCUCCAAGACAGUAUCAGAAAAUAAUGAAGAGGCUUAUUAAAAGAUAUGUACUAAAAGCCCAGAUCGAUAAGGAGAGCGAUGAAGUGAACGAAGGGGAACUGAAGGAAAUUAAACAGGACAUCUCAAGUCUCCGCUAUGAACUCCUAGAAGAAAAAACUCAGAACUCAGAAGAUCUAGCAGAACUUAUUAGAAAACUUGGGGAGAAAUUAUCAGUGGAAACAAAUAAAGAGGAAAGCAAUAGAUAAUGCAAAGACUACCCUAAAAUCCAUAUUUAUUUGUUCACUUGAAGCCAUAUUAGUUUCUGAUUUAUUUUUUUAAGUACCAGUGUGACCACUUUCUAAAUAAGAAAAUGUUCAAAGAUAACUUGGGUCAUCCUAUCAUCCAGAACCCUAAUAUUAAAUAUUUUUCAUGGAUAAAUUUCACUGUUCAAGCUAAAGAUUGAAGGUUAUGAUGCAAAUUAUGCCCAGUUUUUCGGUGCUUGUUUUAUUAACUGCUUUCUUGGGUAUAACUAUUGUGAUGAUGUGGUUGCCAUGUAGCAUCUGCCUGGAAAUCAUUUCAGCUGGCAGGGGGCAGACAUACCAUUCUAUGGUAUUUUCCCUGAUUGUGAUUUCAGGCACUUUCCUGCCUGCUCUGUGGAUCCCUUGAUGGUGAUUUCCAGACCUAAAAUCUAGAGAAAAAAAAAAUCUAUGGCCAUUUAGAGAAUGUUGUAAUCAUCUACCCCACUUAGCCCUCACAGAAUAUGAUUGAUAAUGUCUGUGCAAAAUGGGUAAAAUUUUUCCUAAAUUUCCUGAUUCAUCUCUUUGAAAAUGUUACAUUUACCAGUGAAAAAGUGCUUCCUGCACACUGAAUCCUGCAGACAUGGUUCAAUUGUGUGUGUUUUUGUGUGUGCACAUGCGCGCACAUGUGAAAUUCUUGCCCUAUUUUCUUUUGCAGCCAAUAUAGACUCUCAAAAGCUCUUUAUGUUAUAAUUUUUAUUGUAAUUGAAAAAUUAUUGACCAAAUAAAAACGCUUUAUUGGAGAAAUAUCAAAGCCACAAAUAGUUGUGGUCAUUUGGCCCAAUUAGAGCAGUUUUGUCCCAUUUCUGAGGGCCUUUACAGGUGAAUUCCCCCCACAUUUGGCAUUCAUUGUAAAGAAAAAAAUGUGUUGAAGGAACUUGCAAAUACUUACCUAUUAUUAUCAGUAUGUUCUACCUUCCUCUCAAAAUAUACAAAACAGGAAAUUGCGUUUGUGAGCAUCCACUAAGAGGUUAUUACUUACUGAUGAUGUGGAGCAACAGCUAAAACAACUGAGACAAAUGAAGGUUUGAAGGUUCAUGUGUUCAGCUACCCAAAGACUAUCAAUACUUAGAUGAUGCUGGCCAUUAACUGAAAGUAUAGCUUUAAAUUCAAUAAAGAGAAGCUUCAAAUGCAAAAUUUUAACUUCAUUUUAAAGCUAAAAUGGUCACAGAAAAUCUGUUUAGCCCGAAAUUUGACUGAAUUUAAAUCAAAGAACUUUGACACAACCAGUAGAAUAUAUUGCUGAAAUUUUAUAUUCUUUGAUAUUGUAUUUGUGGGUAUUAUUUAUUGAGAAGUUAUUUAGUGAUACAGAAAAGGUCUAUUUUCAAAUGUUUUGUGACAGUAUUUGAAUCAGAAGAUGCAAAGAUCAACCUCAACCAAAUGCACCAUUAGCAAAUUAAAAUAAUCUAGUAUCCACGAAGCUUGUGUAUUGUGCCAUGCAAGAGAUUGGCCUACAUGACAAGGAGCACUCUACGAUAGAAAAUGAGCUUGACUCUAGAAGAGUCUAGAAAAGAUACUCUGAGUCCCCAGUGUCUUUUAAGUUGGGCAGACCUGACAAAAGUUUUGGGAAAUGCACCAGUCAUGACUGUGGGUUCCUCAGUAAAAGGCACUGCCAUAAAGUGCCACCUGUUAUUGUUCAAAAGUAAUAUGUCCUGAAGUCAAUAGGUUUUCCUCAAAGGGCAACUGAGUUGGCACCUCUUCUAAUUUCUUUUUGUUUUUUAAGAUUUUUA